This 430-nucleotide ribosomal RNA is filed under the name uncultured bacterium. RNAcentral's name for it is "bacterial SSU rRNA". It matches the Rfam family "Bacterial small subunit ribosomal RNA", at positions 28 to 451 of the family's 1533-position model. The record is from RNAcentral.
GAUGAACGCUGGCGGCGUGCCUAACACAUGCAAGUCGAACGGACUUAAUUUGAAACCUAGUGAUAAUUAAGUGAGUGGCGGACGGGUGAGUAACGCGUGGAUAACCUGCCGUAUGCAGGGGGAUACCAACUGGAAACAGUUGCUAAUACCGCAUAAGCGCACGGUGUCGCAUGACACAGUGUGAAAAGGUUUAACGGCAUACGAUGGAUCCGCGUCCGAUUAGCCAGUUGGCGGGGUAACGGCCCACCAAAGCGACGAUCGGUAGCCGGCCUGAGAGGGCGGACGGCCACAUUGGGACUGAGACACGGCCCAAACUCCUACGGGAGGCAGCAGUGGGGAAUAUUGCACAAUGGGGGGAACCCUGAUGCAGCGACGCCGCGUGAGUGAAGAAGUAUUUCGGUAUGUAAAGCUCUAUCAGCAGGGAAGAAAA